UAUUUGUCAAUGGAUGCAACCCGGAACGAUGCAUUCCGCGUGGAGGUGGAUGGAGCUAUCGAUUGUUAACUGCCUCUGUACUUGAAGAAAAAUAGCUUCGGCUAGUUUAUUGACGGUACGGUAAGAAUAGGGACGGGCAGAGUCCGUGCCUGGAGCCGCGGUAAUACGGAGGAUCCAAGCGUUAUCCGGAAUCAUUGGGUUUAAAGGGUCCGUAGGCGGCCUUAUAAGUCAGCGGUGAAAGUUUUUGGCUUAACCAAAAAAUUGCCGUUGAUACUGAAGGGCUUGAAUUUUUGUGAAGUAACUAGAAUCUGUAGUGUAGCGGUGAAAUGCUUAGAUAUUACAAGGAAUACCAAUUGCGAAGGCAGGUUACUAACAAACGAUUGACGCUGAUGGACGAAAGCGUGGGUAGCGAACA
This 415-nucleotide ribosomal RNA is filed under the name uncultured bacterium. RNAcentral describes it as "partial 16S ribosomal RNA". It matches the Rfam family "Bacterial small subunit ribosomal RNA", at positions 362 to 774 of the family's 1533-position model. The record is from RNAcentral.